AACGAACGCUGGCGGCGGGCUUAACACAUGCAAGUCGAGCGCCCGUGGCAACACGGGAGCGGCGCACGGGUGAGUAACGCGUGGGAACCUGUCCCGCGGUACGGCACAACCCAGGGAAACUUGGGCUAAUACCGUAUACGCACUAUGGUGGAAAGAAUUUCGCCGUGGGAGGGGCCCGCGUAGGAUUAGCUAGUUGGUGGGGUAACGGCCUACCAAGGCAUCGAUCCUUAGCUGGUCUGAGAGGAUGAUCAGCCACACUGGGACUGAGACACGGCCCAGACUCCUACGGGAGGCAGCAGUGGGGAAUAUUGGACAAUGGGGGCAACCCUGAUCCAGCCAUGCCGCGUGAGUGAUGAAGGCCUUAGGGUUGUAAAGCUCUUUCGCCGGGGAAGAUAAUGACGGUACCCGGAGAAGAAGCCUCGGCUAACUCCGUG
This 434-nucleotide ribosomal RNA is filed under the name uncultured bacterium. Its description in RNAcentral is "bacterial SSU rRNA". It matches the Rfam family "Bacterial small subunit ribosomal RNA", at positions 29 to 507 of the family's 1533-position model. The record is from RNAcentral.